Molecule: long non-coding RNA, 695 nt
Organism: Rhipicephalus sanguineus (brown dog tick)
Lineage: Eukaryota; Metazoa; Arthropoda; Arachnida; Ixodida; Ixodidae
Exons: 3
Source: RefSeq, a predicted model, not a curated record
UCGGCGUCUCGUUACGUCCACUGGAACUUCAAGGCAAAAGCAUUAAUUUCGUGUGCGAAAGCGCCGUCCAUCGUUUGUGCAAUGUGUAAAGCUUGCGCGCAAUUCUCGUGGUUCUUGGAGCUUCGGUCAAGUACGAGCUGUUCAAGGAAUCGGCGGAAGACUCCGCAUGUGAUGGCCGACUCCCGUGGCUGCCUACUGCACCGCUGCAUGAAAGAAGCUAAAGAUUGACCUUGGCCGAGGAAUUUUAAUGGAAAACCAGAAGUGGCAGUGGCUUCCAGAAGAAACCGAGGGCUCCCUUGCUUUCUCAGAGAGAAAGAGCAAAGGCACUGUGGCGCAUCGAAAACCUGCACAACUAGAGCAUCCUUGUUCACCAUGCUGCUCUUUCAUCAAAGAGGAAGGUCAUCAUCCUCAGAGAAGCUUCAUGCACUGAAGCAUGCUUUCCACCAGAGGAGCAGGUGGGAAACGAGUUCUUCCAAGGGAGCGUCUACCGAUACCUGGCGGGCAAGCUGAAAGUCAUCAGAAGGCCGAAUGAAUAAAUCGUUGGUGGUUCAUCUGCAUGUACAACCAUCAACUGUUGUGUGCACCUUUUUGCAGAUCCAUAUUACUUAGUCACAAUCUGUGCCAGUAACACAUAUCAGUAACUGGCUUUUUGAUUGAGGCUUCUUUUAUGAUGUCUGAAAGUAAGGCAUUCUGCA